AAUGAACGCGUGGCGGCGCGCCUAAUACAUGCAAGUCGAGCGAGAAGACGUAGCAAUACGUUUGUAAAGCGGCGAACGGGUGAGGAAUACAUGGGUAACCUACCCUCGGAGUGGGGAAUAACUAGCCGAAAGGUUAGCUAAUACCGCGUACGCUCCUUGGACUUCGGUUCAGGGAGGAAAGCGAUACCGUGGGUAUCGCGCUCUUGGUUGGGCUCAUGUCCUAUCAGCUUGUUGGUGAGGUAACGGCUCACCAAGGCUUCGACGGGUAGCUGGUCUGAGAGGACGAUCGAACCACACUGGCACUGCGACACGGGCCAGACUCCUACGGGAGGCAGCAGUAAGGAAUAUUGCGCAAUGGGCGAAAGCCUGACGCAGCGACGCCGCGUGGGGGA
This 392-nucleotide ribosomal RNA is filed under the name uncultured bacterium. RNAcentral describes it as "bacterial SSU rRNA". It matches the Rfam family "Bacterial small subunit ribosomal RNA", at positions 37 to 408 of the family's 1533-position model. The record is from RNAcentral.